GGCCGGCAGUAGGGAGCGAGCUGUGGCCGGCCCCAGGCCAGGGACCCCGCAGGACCCAUGCACGCCUCCGGGGAUGCCGCUACGCCUGCCGCGUCCUGCACCCUCCACAGCCUCCGGAGCCAAGGCUGGAGGGGGCGAGCCAGCAGUUGUCCGUUAUCCCCACCCUGAGCACCUUCCCGGCCGAGCUGGGCAAGGGCUGAGCCCUGAGCCGGGCAGCGGUACAGCAGCCCCUGCCUGGCUGGCCGGAGGGCCACCGUGCUGGGGUCCGGGUGCUGUUGGAGGAAGGGGAUGGCUGAAGUACCAUUACCUAUGUCCCAGGCAGAUGCCACCCUCACUCCCACGAUGCCAGUCCCAAAGCUGUACUCCCCCCUGCCCCGUUCAGCUCCCACCCAAAUUCGCGUGCCAGACCCCUGGGGCAGCUGGGCGGUGGACGCCAGGACAGCAGCUCCCCCUGAGACGGGGUCGGACUGGCCGCGGGAGCUGAGCACGCACCGGGGACAGGGCCUGGGAAGUGACGGAUGGGGCUACCUGGCGGUGGGAUGGCCCUGCAGGGCCAGGAUCAGCCUGACCACUGUGUCGGGAGUUGGCUGGUGGUGGAGCGUGUCCAGCAGGACCACAGCAGCGUUGGAUAUGACACAUACCUGCCGGGACCCAUCCCCGUCCCCAGCAGGUGACAUCACCAAGCCUCUUGGUUUCCACCAUGAUGAUCCAUUGCUCCACCAGGACUGGCAGCAGGCAAGAAGGAUGUUGCUGAUGGAGGCUGCAGAUGCUGGCCAGCACACGUAUUCCCAUGCAGCCCUGGCAGGGUGACAUGGAGAACCCUGUAUCCGGUUCAGCUGAGCUCCUUGAGGCUGGAUGCCGCUGGUGAAGGGGCACCCGUUAGACCUUGGCCUUGAGGAUGGAGGCAUGUCAAGGGGGGGCGUCUGCCAAGCCCUCUCCAGGGGCCUCUGGAGGAGGGGAGGCAAGAGGCAGGCAAGGGUGCUACGACCUCAGCAGCAAUCUCAGGUAGGGCCCUGCGUGGGCAUGGACACCUCUGCGCCGUCACAGAUGCCAGGACACCCGGAGCAAGCCUGAAGCUGGCUGCGUCCCUGCAGGAGCGAAGCCCUUGCUUGGUGGUGCUCCCCCAUCACUAGUCUUCCUGCUCUGCUGGGUCUCACCGGCAGCAGCUGGUGCUCCCCCAUCACUAGUCUUCCUGCUCUGCUGGGUCUCACCGGCAGCAGCGAGCCCCCCGAGCCCC
RNAcentral lists this long non-coding RNA (1237 nucleotides) under Struthio camelus australis. Its description in RNAcentral is "lncRNA (ENSSCUG00000000192.1)". Lineage: Eukaryota; Metazoa; Chordata; Aves; Struthioniformes; Struthionidae. The record is from RNAcentral.